GUUCCUGUGACGCAGUGGUUAGCGUGUCGUUCUUAUAUUGUCCUGGCUUAGCUGAGCAAUAUGGUUAGAAAUGCGAAUGUCGUGGGUUCGACCCCCUCCAGGAACA
Cephalotrichum gorgonifer is the source of this 106-nucleotide non-coding RNA. The record is from the annotation of a GenBank genome assembly. NCBI's taxonomy places the organism in Eukaryota, Fungi, Ascomycota, Sordariomycetes, Microascales, Microascaceae.